RNA transcript from Nannospalax galili (Upper Galilee mountains blind mole rat), 3427 nucleotides. It is a transcript of the gene named kelch like family member 11, with no coding region annotated. The transcript has 3 exons. Lineage: Eukaryota; Metazoa; Chordata; Mammalia; Rodentia; Spalacidae. The record is from RefSeq and is a predicted model, not a curated record.
CUGCCGCACCGUUCGAAACCGAGGCGGUCGGUGCAGCGGAGUCAAGAUGGCGGCGGCGGUGGCGGCGGCGGCGGCGGCAGCUGCGGCGGCCGCGUCCCUCCAGGUGCUGGAGAUGGAGAGCAUGGAGACCGCGGCCCCAGGGUCCGCGGGCCUGGCCGCUGAGGUGCGAGGCAGCGGCACGGUGGACUUCGGGCCCGGGCUCUCUGUCAUGGAGGCGAGCGGGGGCGACCCUGGCCCUGAGGCCGAGGACUUCGAGUGCAGCUCCCACUGCUCGGAGCUGUCCUGGCGGCAGAACGAGCAGCGCCGCCAGGGCCUGUUCUGCGACAUCACCCUGUGCUUUGGCGGGGCUGGAGGUCGCGAGUUCCGGGCCCACCGCUCGGUGCUGGCCGCCGCCACCGAGUACUUUACGCCCUUGCUCUCGGGCCAGUUUUCCGAGUCGCGCUCGGGCCGGGUGGAGAUGCGCAAGUGGAGCUCGGAGCCGGGGCCCGAACCCGACACGGUGGAAGCCGUUAUCGAGUACAUGUACACCGGGCGCAUCCGAGUGAGCACCGGCAGCGUGCACGAGGUCCUGGAGCUGGCCGACAGAUUCCUGUUAAUUCGUUUAAAAGAAUUUUGUGGAGAAUUUCUCAAGAAAAAGCUUCAUCUCUCAAAUUGUGUGGCCAUCCAUAGCUUAGCGCACAUGUACACCCUGAGCCAGCUUGCUCUGAAAGCUGCUGAUAUGAUACGGAGAAAUUUUCAUAAAGUCAUUCAGGAUGAAGAGUUCUAUACUUUACCUUUCCAUCUCAUUCGAGACUGGCUUUCGGACUUAGAAAUUACAGUCGAUUCUGAAGAGGUUCUCUUUGAAACGGUUUUGAAGUGGGUUCAGAGAAAUGCUGAAGAGAGAGAGAGAUAUUUUGAGGAACUUUUUAAAUUGCUCAGGUUGUCCCAGAUGAAACCUACCUACCUUACUCGACACGUCAAACCAGAGAGACUGGUGGCCAAUAAUGAAGUUUGUGUCAAGCUGGUGGCCGACGCAGUGGAGAGGCAUGCGCUCAGAGCAGAGAAUCUGCAGUCUGGUGCACUCCAGCAUCCCACUUCUCAUGUCUCACUGUUACCUCGCUAUGGGCAAAACAUGGAUGUGAUCAUGGUUAUUGGAGGUGUCUCAGAGGGAGGAGACUACUUAAGUGAAUGUGUGGGAUAUUUUGUUGAUGAGGACAGAUGGGUAAAUCUGCCCCACAUUCAUAAUCAUCUCGAUGGACAUGCUGUUGCAGUAACAGAAUCUUACGUAUAUGUAGCUGGGUCGAUGGAACCAGGCUUUGCUAAAACUGUGGAAAGGUACAACCCAAAUAUGAAUACAUGGGAACAUGUUUGUAGUCUGAUGACAAGAAAGCAUUCUUUUGGGCUAACAGAAGUCAAAGGGAAGCUGUAUAGCAUUGGAGGACAUGGCAAUUUUAGUCCUGGUUUUAAAGAUGUGACUGUUUACAAUCCUGAGCUCGAUAAAUGGCACAACUUGGAGUCAGCACCAAAGAUUCUUCGAGAUGUCAAAGCACUAGCCAUUGAAGACCGGUUUGUGUACAUUGCCGCCCGCACCCCUGUGGACCGGGACACUGAGGAUGGGUUGAAGGCUGUCAUUACAUGCUAUGAUACAGAGACUCGACAGUGGCAAGAUGUGGAAUCUUUGCCACUUAUUGACAAUUACUGUUUUUUUCAAAUGUCUGUGGUCCAUUCAAACUUCUAUCAGACAGCGUCAUGCUGUCCCAAGAGUUAUUCUUUAGAGAAUGAAGAAGCAGUAAGAAAAAUUGCCAGCCAGGUGUCUGAUGAGAUCCUUGAAAGCUUGCCUCCAGAAGUCCUAAGCAUCGAAGGAGCAGCUAUCUGCUAUUACAAAGAUGACGUCUUUAUUAUCGGAGGCUGGAAAAACAGUGAUGAUAUUGACAAACAGUAUCGGAAGGAAGCCUACCGAUACUGUGCUGAGAGAAAGCGGUGGAUGCUCCUUCCUCCCAUGCCCCAGCCUCGUUGUAGAGCCACUGCCUGUCACGUCAGGAUCCCAUACCGGUAUUUGCAUGGCACACAGAGAUACCCUAUGCCUCAAAACUUAAUGUGGCAGAAGGACCGCAUCAGACAGAUGCAAGAAAUCCACCGGCAUGCCCUGAACAUGCGGCGUGUGCCGAGCUCCCAGAUUGAAUGCUGAGCUCUCCAGCGUGUGCAGCUCCACACUGCUGUCCCUGGUGUGUGAGGCUGAAGAUCCUUGGACUGUUACUUGGAAAAUAGGUCUUGACUUACAUACAGACCCUGAGGGUUAAGCGCCAAAGGCCCAAGGAUCAAGUUCAGCAGCAGCUGCCUCUGCCUCUUCUGCUGUGUUUUACCAGCUUCCUCUGAUUUUGUUUAGCUUCUGUGACAACAAAGUUGUAAGUCCACAUUCUAAUUUUUUUCUACUUUUCUUUCAUUAGAAUUUCCUUCAACUGUUAGAGAGUUUAUAUUCAAGAUUUGUUAAUUCUCAGUUCCCUUGGAUACAUCAUUAAUUUCUUAGUUUUUUGUUCUGUUUUGCUUUUGCUUUUUUUGAGGCAGGAUCUCAUUGUGCAGUCCGUUGGCCUGGAAUUCCCUCUGUAGACCAAGUUGGCCCUGAACACAGAGAUCUGUCCACCUACCUCUGCCUCCACAGUGCUGGGAUUAAAGGUGUGCACCUCCACACGGGCUGUAUUUCUCCACUUGCUGGUUUUGUUGAAUAUUGUGUGCAGGUGUGGGAGAGAACUCCAAGUCUUCCAGACCUUGUAUAGGUUGUCAUACUGCUUUUGCACUGUUUUUAUUGACAGUAUGUUACUGCUCAGUGCAUUGAAAUUUUAUGUUGGAUGUAGAUGUUUGGAAUAUACUUUCCUCCUUUUCUUUUAAGAGUCAGGAUCAUUCUUGUGCUUUGUUCUGAGGCUGUGCAGUUCCUUCCUGCUCUUUUAGCUUAGCUUUUAUCUUGACUCUCGAACUUUAGCUUUUGUAAGUGAUCGUGUGUCUUAGUAGAACUUUGUACAGCUUCUCUUUGUGUAUUUUGCAACUCUUUCAAGUUUUAUUUGAUUUCAUUUAAUUCUGUAUGUGGUAUCCUCAAAAAGGUAUGUUAGAUUCACAUUAGUCUCUUUGUUUAAAGCUCUUUUCCUGGUAAUUGUGUCUUAAUUUUUUCAUUAGCUGGCCUGGGACCAGGCUGGGCUCCAUCUCACAGAGAUCUGCCUGCCUCUGCCUCCCGAGUGCUGGGAUUAAAGGCGUGCACCACCACGGCCGGCUCUUUUUUGUUUCUUGGAAACCUCAUAUUGCAGAGUUAUUCCCGUUCCACUUCUUAGGAUCUAACAUGAUUGUGGGUUCUCUCCCUUUCCUUGUGGGUCGUUGGCCACAGGUCCACGAGGACAAAGGGAGCAGAAGCAACGAACGGGGUCAGGACGGCCAGUGAGCACUGACGGAAGAAAGCCCU